CAUAUAUAUUCAAAGGUACCAAAAAGAAAUUAAAAAUGCUCUCUGUUGUCUAUUCAAAAUUCAGGUCGUCCCUAUAAGCUUUUGCCCUAAUUGUUUUCAUGACAGCUUUACCAAUUUCUUUUUGCAAUUAAAGUUUGCCUUAACUCUGCUUUCCAUCACUACUUCUCACAACUUUGUCAAAUUCGUUUUUCCAUUAAGUUUUUGCCCUAAUCUCAAUUUCCAUUGUAGCUUCCAUAGCAGAUCAGGUGUUUAUCAGCAGGCAAGUUGCAUACCUGCGGUUCAAGUUGGCCAAUAAGAGGGAGAGAAGGUGGGGAUAAAGUUAUAGGGUACUGAUCUAUAUGUGAAUUUAAGAAAAUUUUGAGAAGCAUGGGAAAGUGGAAUACCCACGCGUUCACCAACAGUUGAUGUGAGUUCUUGAUAUGGUAAGGUGGAGUUUUUAUUCAAGUUAGCAAUAAUAGGUAUGACUCUUGAGAGAGGUUAGUUGUUGGUAAACCACCUUGAGGAACCUGAAGUGCAAAAAGGGGAGUGUUCUCAUCACGUGCGACAUGCCUUGAGAUGAUAAUUCUUUCAUCAAGGGUGAGAGACCUAUAACCUCUAUGAUUUGCACAAUAACCAAAGAAGGUGCAUGGUUGGGAUUGAAACUCAACUUUGUAUUUACUUAAUGGUCUCUGUAAAGGAAAACAUUGACACCCAAAUACUUUAAGAAAAUAGUAAUCAAGUUUACUGCCAAAUAACUUCUAAUGAGGACUCACGAUUUAAAUGACCUCUGAAGGUAACCUAUUAAUCAAGAAAAUAGUGGAGUAGAAUGCAUCACUCCAAAAUUUUAUAGGUAACGAAGCUAGAGCUAAUAGAUUAAGACCAGUUUUAAUGAUAUUUCUAUGUUUGCAUUAUAUAAUGCCAUUUUGGGGUGAAAUGUAUGGACAAGUGAGCCUGUGGAUGAUACCAUCUCUAAGAAAAUGAGGUUUAUGCAAGUUGAACUUGGUGCCA
Capsicum annuum is the source of this 987-nucleotide long non-coding RNA. RefSeq lists it as uncharacterized. The record is from RefSeq and is a predicted model, not a curated record. Lineage: Eukaryota; Viridiplantae; Streptophyta; Magnoliopsida; Solanales; Solanaceae. The transcript has 2 exons.